UGUCUCAAAGAUUAAGCCAUGCAUGUCUAAGUAUAAACAUCUUUAUACAGUGAAACUGCGUACAGCUCAUUAUAUCAGUUAUUAUUUAUUUGAUGGUACCUUACUACAUGGAUACCCGUAGUAAUUCUAGAGCUAAUACGUGCGUAAAGUCCCGACUUUUUGGAAGGGAUGUAUUUAUUAGAUUAAAAACCAAUGCAGGCAACUGCUCCUUUGGUGAUUCAUAGUAACUUUAACGGAUCGCACGGCUUCACGCUGGCGACAGUUCAUUCAAAUUUCUGCCCUAUCAGCUUUCGACGGUACUUUAUUGGACUACCGUGGCAUUAACGGGUGACGGAGAAUUAGGGUUCGAUUCCGGAGAGGGAGCCUGAGAAACGGCUACCACAUCCAAGGAAGGCAGCAGGCGCGCAAAUUACCCAAUCUCGAUACGAGGAGGUAGUGACAAUAAAUAAC
This 450-nucleotide ribosomal RNA is filed under the name uncultured microeukaryote. RNAcentral describes it as "SSU rRNA". It matches the Rfam family "Eukaryotic small subunit ribosomal RNA", at positions 33 to 481 of the family's 1831-position model. The record is from RNAcentral.